Molecule: non-coding RNA, 3397 nt
Organism: Coturnix japonica (Japanese quail)
Lineage: Eukaryota; Metazoa; Chordata; Aves; Galliformes; Phasianidae
Source: RefSeq, a predicted model, not a curated record
UAUCCUAUGGGCUCCUGAUUGCCACAGGUGGGUGGGGAAAGGCUUUAUAGCAGAGCUGGCUGCCUUAAUGGAGGCUUUCUCUGAAGGUUGCAGCCAACAGCACCAGGACAAGGGAAGGCUGGUGAUGCGUGUUGCUUCUCAAGGGGUCCAACUCCUCGUGGAGCUUCUUGAGAACUUGUGGAAGGAUGUCCCAAACCAGCCAACAGAUCAAGGAGCAGCUGACGUGUGGACAAAGAAAAGAAGCUCUGAGGUGAGAAAAGAAAGUUGCUAUACAUAGGAUGUUGUACUCCUGUAUCAAAUAUUAUCAGCCAUUUACACCCUCAGUGCAUAGGACAUUUUCUCGUACACAUCACAGGGAUUAGAAAGGUUCUCUGAGUAACACAGAUGAGCUGAGAGGAAGAAAGCUAGAAAAGUCUUGAUCAAACUUCAGCCCAGUGAAGUACCUGAGUAAGGCUCGUAUUUCACCUCUUGGUUGACUCUGAAGUUGAGAAAGUACAUGCCCAGAAAGUAGUAGCUGGUUAAAAAAAACCAUUAUUUAGAUGAAUUAAAAUGUAUUCUUUUUAAAGAAGCUAAAUAGUGACCUUCUGUAAUGACAAAAAUGACGAAGCAGUUGGAGAUGAGACUGCCCUCUGUUUGAAAGACUUUAUCUCAUGUAUCUGUGAGGUCCCAGGCAAUCACACAAUUGGUGACAGUCCUGUAAGGCAGUGGAAGCACAUGGCUGCCCAUGACACCGUGCCCUCAGCAUCUCCCCAGUGGGGUGCUUAAGCACCCAACCCAACAUUACUGCGUUCAGCGUGGUUUUAUGGAGGAAACUGGUUUGAAUACUGCCAAGCGAGCAGCAAGGAUGGCUCUCAAUGCAGAAAUGGACUAAACACCUAAUGAAUCUAAAAAUAAAAUAAUAAAAAAAAAACAACGCUGAGAAGAGAUGCGAGCAGACUGAAUAGACAUCGCUGUGUAAGCAAAUAUAACUGAAUAUACUCCUGAGGAACAAAGGAAACAGUUCUUGAUGGGGUGACAACAGAUGUUCUCCAAAAAAAUUCUAACGGAGCAUUUCAAACACAAAGACUUUCCUGUGGAGCUGAGAAGUUUUGCUGGCAGACGCACUGGUAAUCCAUCUUUGGAAACAUAAUAAACCCUAACAUUUAAGGUGCUAUCACGUCCUGAAGGCAGAAGUGAUAUCUUCAUGUAGUGAGCGGUGGGUGGUGGUAGAGAGGGAAACAGUUGAGAUAACAACAUGCUGUCACAAGAAGUUGUUGUAGCGUGGAUUUAAAUGGCUGGAGGGGUAACUCGUCAGAGAACUUGUUCUAAGAUAGCCUUUAGAAAACGUGCUCUCUGUGCAAGUGAAAGGUAUGCAGGUUGAUCUCAUAGAACAAACACAAUCCAUAGCAACUGACAAAUUAUGUGGGCACACCUAAGUGCAGCCACUUGCACCAUGUGAAUGAGAGCAGAGUGUCCGAAGGCCAAUGCUCCUAAUGGCUACUGCCCUCCCACAUCAUGGCUAAGUAUAUCGCAGUAAACUCUUAAAGCAGAGCUUGGAGUCCUCUUUGCAAUGACUGACCUGCCCUGCUACUUUGGGAAGCUCUUGAUUUAAUUAUUUAAUUCCUGGCUGGGUUCUGCAGCAUCUUCCCUCACUGGCUUUGCACAGGCUUUUAAAUGUGAGGCACCUAGAAUUCUUUUUUAAACACUUCAUUUUUAUUUUAUUUCACUUUUUAAUGCCUAAGAUACAGAAUAAAGCUUCUGUCUUUUUGGACUCUUGAAAGAUCUCUUAAGCAUCUGCAAGUCAAACGUAUCGUUUUUCUGGAAACAAGGCAGGAGGCUGAACACAGUAUGUUGUUUAAUUGCUUUUGCUGCAUUUCAGCUAUUUUUGAGGAAAAGCUACAACCAAGAGAGAAGAUUAUUCCAGUGCAGUAGGAGCCAUCAGAACCACAGAAACACUAAGAUGGACAAGUUGAUUGACAGGUGAAUGCUAAAGCAGACAGCAACACAGAAAAUCAUCAUAGGACAGACGUUUUGGUAAAUAUUACCGUAGCCAAUUUAUUAUUAACACAGUGGGACAGCUUUACAUCUUGCAUCACACUUUUCACAGUCCUUAUGGUAAACGUGCCGUAUCUGACAAUUACAAGAUGAAAACAAAGACCUCACUAACUCUCUACUGGCCCCGCAGUACUAUCUACUUACUCAAUUAACCCUCUCCAAACUUCAGCUGUGCAACUGAGCAAGCGUGUUCAGAUAUUGUAAUGUAAUUUCAGUCAUGUCCUAUGCAAGCUGCAAAGGUUAUGUCACCUGUGACAUUAAUUUCUACAGGAGGCUGCAGAAAAUGAAGGGGGCUAUGGAGGAAGUGGAAUAUUGUUUGGGAAGAGGAUGAUGUAGAAUGCCAUCUAAAGAGUAGAAAAAAAACCUUGUGUUAAUGCUCAAAAUGCUGUUCUGACUGGUCGCCCUUCUUUCUUGCUGCUAUGACUAAACAGUGCAGUCCUGAGAACUCAGGAGUUAUUGUGAGACAUCAUCACAAAUAGAGGAUUGGGAUGAAAGAGUCCUAUAGUGGGUUUUUUUUAUCUUCUGGAUUGUGUCUGGAUAAAUCUUCUGUUUCCACAGAAAGACUGUAAAUUAACUCAGAAUAACCGAUCUUUCUCUUUGCCGACCACUUUAUUUCUGGGAGUAACAAUCUAUCUGACAGACCUCUUAACUAAUCAUAUUUUCAUCUGCUUCACACAAAAUGGACCCGGCAUUCUUUUAAAGAUAAUGAAGCACAAGAUGGACUGCUGCAGUCACUAAGUCAAGCCCUCUGCUACUUGUACAUAUGGAGAUCCAUUUUAAAAUGAAAUCUUAUGAGACGAGUUCCCCGAGAUCUCUUUUUUUUCUUUUUUCCAUAUUGAAUUGCACAUAGUAUUGUGCUAUUCUCAGAGCUGUAUUAUCAGCUGCAGGGUUAGAAAACAAAAAGCAGACAAGUCACAGGAUGAUAUGAGCCAUGGGAUUUUAUUUGAUUCAAGCAUUUAUUUUCCAUCCACUUCCUGUCUGGUUUUGAAAGUGCUCAUUUCAGAAACCAAAACUGACAUGCAUAAAGAGAACUUGGUGAAAGACAAAAGGGAGACGCAACAAAUAUCAGGCAAGUGAAUGAAGCUAAUGGAGUAUUUUUCUCUCUCUGAACCCACAAGUAGAGUAUGUUACCAAGUAUUCCAAAAUGAUGUCUUUUCAUGUGAAGGGAAGAAUUAGUGUUAAGUACAAAGUGUUGCAUGUGGUUGAUUCCCAUUAGGUCAUGUGUGUUGGGUUUCACUGAUUUGGAAAGCAAAACAGGAUUUUUAUUUUACAAAGCUUCCUGUGCACCAAGUCUUAAUGUGAUUUUAAAAGAGACUAACAACUGUGCACUUAGAAAUCAAUUCCAGCAUCUCAUUUUUGUAAA